AACGAAUAUUCCGCAAUGCACGAAAGUGUGACGGAGCAAUGCCGCGUGCAGGAUGAAUCCCCUCGGGGUGUAAACUGCUGUCAGUGACUAGAAAAAAAAUGAUCAGUCGCAAAGGAAGGACCGGCUAAUCUCGUGCCAGCAGCCGCGGUAAUACGAGAGGUCCGAGCGUUACGCGGAAUUACUGGGCUUAAAGCGUACGUAGGCGGAUCUACAGGUAUCCUGUGAAAGCCCACGGCUCAACCGUGGAAUUGCAGGGUAAACCGUAGAUCUUGAGGUGGCUAGGGGCUCUCGGAACGGUAGGUGGAGUGGUGAAAUGCGUUGAUAUCUACCGGAACGCCAAAGGGGAAGCCAGGGAGCUGGGGCCAUUCUGACGCUGAGGUACGAAAGCGUGGGUAGCGAACGGG
RNAcentral lists this ribosomal RNA (404 nucleotides) under uncultured bacterium. Its description in RNAcentral is "bacterial SSU rRNA". It matches the Rfam family "Bacterial small subunit ribosomal RNA", at positions 356 to 776 of the family's 1533-position model. The record is from RNAcentral.